Molecule: long non-coding RNA, 1967 nt
Organism: Nicotiana tabacum (common tobacco)
Lineage: Eukaryota; Viridiplantae; Streptophyta; Magnoliopsida; Solanales; Solanaceae
Source: RefSeq, a predicted model, not a curated record
AAAUUACCCUAGCUAAAAAACAUUCCAACAAUUAGGGCACAAACACGCCCCCUUUCUCUCCUCUCUAUCAGACUCCCACUUUCACUCCUCUUCGUGAGUUUUUUUCUUCAAAUACAAAAAAUUGGGCGUGAAUCUAGGGUUAAUGUCUGAAAAAUAGGAAGAAAACUUUCAAAAUUGCAAAAUUUUUGCUACGAAAAUUUGAAAUUCGAAGUCGUGUGUUUGCAAAAUUUUGAAAUUUGAAGUCGUGCGUUGAUUUUAGGGAUUGUAUGCCCUUGAAAAGGUAAGCUUCUUUGUGAUUUCAUUAUGUAUUGUAGAUCUGGGCGAGAAUCAUGUUCAUCCUGUCUUGUGCUUUAUUUUGCUUUGGAGCAACAAGCUGACCUCUCAGACCAUCAUCUUCUCUAUCUGUUUGAUGUUUAGUCCUGUUUAUUUAUAGCAGAGUUAGUAGUUUCAGUUAGGCCUGGAAAUCUGUUGGGUGGAGGUUGUAUGUCUUUUGCUGCUAAAGGAUGAAUGUUGGUUAAAGCAGUCACUCAUUUAUAAUAAUUUCUUAGAGGGAAAAUUACUCUGGCAUGCAUAUAGCAUCAACUAAUUCUGUGUUUGAAAUAGUGCUUAUGGACGGUCAAGUGCUGUUUAGACGAUUUGACAACAGUACUUAACAAAAAUACAUAAGCUACAUUGAAAAGCCACGAUGUUCAUUGUUCUUUCCUUUAUUUUCAUUUUGGGAGACUUAUCCCAUUGUGGAUGAUAUUUAUUGCUAAAAAAAAUCUGUGUUUGAAAUAGAGUAGUACAUAUAAUGGUGAAGAAAGGUCAUUUUGAGGCUAAUUGCGUGUAAUUUUGAGGUCUAAUGUUAGUACAUUACAUGUGUUGUGAGAAGAAUUGGAGGAGAUGGACUGGAAUCCCAGAGUUAAUUAAUGGAGUAUUAGAAGAAAGGACGAUUCAGUAGUUGAAUUUCUCCCUUCAAAGUCUAAUAUUUCGAGAAGAUGAACAUAUGAAUGUGCUAAUUAUUUAUUUUUUGCGUGAAAUAUUCAAAGUCUAAUAUUUCCAUAAUAGUUCAAUUUGUGAAGCAUACUUGAUGAUGGAAUCAAUACAAUUGUUUUCUCAUUAUUUUAAACCUCAUGUCAUGACACGUAAUCAUAAUGUGGCCCGUAAUGAUGAUGAUGGUGUUAUGGAAGAUCUUGAAAGAAAUUUAUCAAUAUUCACCCAUCUAGGCUGACUAUGGGGAGAAGGAAAAAAGAGAAGUUUGUCCCUCGAAGAAAUCAAGGCAUCCCAAACUUAUAUUCUACUAAAUUGUGUAGAGGUUGAGCCGUUUGUAAGUAUAUACAUACAACGGUUGCAAGAAGAAUUCCCCAAUCUAUAUCAGGAUCAAAUAAAUGAGAGUUUCGAAACGUAUUUUGCUAUAUGGUUCAAGGAAUAUGUUCGAUGCAACCACAUUGAGAACCAAUUCUUGCGUAGUCUUGCUCAUGGACCAUUAAUAAGCACAAAAUAUUAUCCGGUGGCUCACACGGGUGGCUCUAUCAGUGUUGGGGAGCAUCGCAAGAGACUUUGCAUACGGUCAAAAUCAGAGGCCUCCGAUUUACAGGAUCGAAGGUCCGUCAUAGGCUCGAGUUCAGGCCAGGUCGAGAUCGAGACCGGUGGACCAGAGUCAAGCUCGAAGACAAAGUGCAAUGCCUGGAGAUAGGAGUACGAGGAAUACCAGGCCCGAGUAUACUCGACCCCGAAAAGUACCGUUAGGAAUUUGUAAUAGAAUGAGCUAGAUUCCUACCACGUCCCCAUAAUCGUGGCGCAAAUCCCGGAAUAAAAUUGUACGAUUCCGUACUAGGCGGUUAGACAGUUGUAUUAAGAAUAUUUCCUACUGUAAAUGGAAAUAUUCCUUAUUUAGGGUUCUCUUAUUAUAUAAAGGGGGACACCAAUCAUUUGUAAGAUCAUUUGAUCAUUGAGCAAAGAAUAUACUCUCUAUCUUUUCGCCUACU